GACGCACGCUGUCGGCGUGCCUAACACAUGCAAGUCGAACGAUGAAGCCCAGCUUGCUGGGUGGAUUAGUGGCGAACGGGUGAGUAACACGUGAGUAACCUGCCCUUGACUCUGGGAUAAGCGCUGGAAACGGCUGCUAAUCCCGGAUACGACCUGCCCCGGCAUCGGGUGCUGGUGGAAAGUCUUUCGGUCAAGGAUGGACUCGCGGCCUAUCAGCUAGUUGGUGAGGUAAUGGCUCACCAAGGCGACGACGGGUAGCCGGCCUGAGAGAGUGACCGGCCACACUGGGACUGAGACACGGCCCAGACUCCUACGGGAGGCAGCAGUGGGGAAUAUUGCACAAUGGGCGAAAGCCUGAUGCAGCAACGCCGCGUGGGGGAUGACGGCCUUCGGGUUGUAAACCUCUUUUAGUAGGGAAGAAGGGCUUCGGCUUGACGGUACCUGCAGAAAAAGCACCGGCUAACUACGUGCCAGCCGCCGCGGUAA
RNAcentral lists this ribosomal RNA (486 nucleotides) under uncultured bacterium. RNAcentral's name for it is "partial 16S ribosomal RNA". It matches the Rfam family "Bacterial small subunit ribosomal RNA", at positions 28 to 523 of the family's 1533-position model. The record is from RNAcentral.